This 497-nucleotide ribosomal RNA is filed under the name uncultured bacterium. RNAcentral's name for it is "partial 16S ribosomal RNA". It matches the Rfam family "Bacterial small subunit ribosomal RNA", at positions 28 to 507 of the family's 1533-position model. The record is from RNAcentral.
GAUGAACGCUGGCGGCGUGCCUAAUACAUGCAAGUCGAGCGAACGGACGAGAAGCUUGCUUUUCUGAUGUUAGCGGCGGACGGGUGAGUAACACGUGGAUAACCUACCUAUAAGACUGGGAUAACUUCGGGAAACCGGAGCUAAUACCGGAUAAUAUUUUGAACCGCAUGGUUCAAAAGUGAAAGACGGUCUUGCUGUCACUUAUAGAUGGAUCCGCGCUGCAUUAGCUAGUUGGUAAGGUAACGGCUUACCAAGGCAACGAUGCAUAGCCGACCUGAGAGGGUCGGCAGCCACACGGGAACUGAGCCCAGGGACAGACGCCUAAGGGAGGCAGCAGUAGGGAAUAUUGCGCGAUGGGCGAAAGCAUGAAGGAGCAAAGCCGCGUGAGUGAUGAAGGUCUUAAGAUCGUAAAAAUCUGUUAUUAGAGAAGAACAAAUGUGUAAGUAACUAUGAACGUCUUGACGGUACAGAAUCAGAAAGCCACGGCUAACUAAGUG